GCUGGCGGUAGGCCUAACACAUGCAAGUCGAACGGCAGCACAGGAGAGCUUGCUCUCUGGGUGGCGAGUGGCGGACGGGUGAGGAAUACAUCGGAAUCUACUCUGUCGUGGGGGAUAACGUAGGGAAACUUACGCUAAUACCGCAUACGACCUACGGGUGAAAGCAGGGGAUCUUCGGACCUUGCGCGAUUGAAUGAGCCGAUGUCGGAUUAGCUAGUUGGCGGGGUAAAGGCCCACCAAGGCGACGAUCCGUAGCUGGUCUGAGAGGAUGAUCAGCCACACUGGAACUGAGACACGGUCCAGACUCCUACGGGAGGCAGC
Molecule: ribosomal RNA, 321 nt
Filed under: uncultured Stenotrophomonas sp.
Lineage: Bacteria; Pseudomonadati; Pseudomonadota; Gammaproteobacteria; Lysobacterales; Lysobacteraceae
Description: bacterial SSU rRNA
Rfam family: Bacterial small subunit ribosomal RNA
Source: RNAcentral